GUGGCUGUGGCUCAGUGGUAGAGCACUUGCCUUGCAUGUGUGAGUCACUGGGUUCAAGUCUCAGCACUGCA
Molecule: transfer RNA, 71 nt
Filed under: Ictidomys tridecemlineatus (thirteen-lined ground squirrel)
Lineage: Eukaryota; Metazoa; Chordata; Mammalia; Rodentia; Sciuridae
Description: Spermophilus tridecemlineatus (thirteen-lined ground squirrel) tRNA
Rfam family: tRNA
About the family: Transfer RNA (tRNA) molecules are approximately 80 nucleotides in length. Their secondary structure includes four short double-helical elements and three loops (D, anti-codon, and T loops).
Source: Rfam by way of RNAcentral